AGACAUGAAAGAAUGUUGAAGUUUGGUUUUUUGUGGAUACUCUGCAUAUAGACAUUCUAGACUGGAGUGAUACAUCUUGUUCAGGGUUUUGUGCAUCUCUAAGAUGAUCAUCUUGGUGUGGGGUCCUGAUCUUCCCAGUGACUUAGCAGCACAGUAAUUUGGCUGAAAUGUUGAUGAGUUCAGACAAGAAGAAGGUGAUGAUGACAAGAGAGCGUCACGGGGAAAUUCUGCCCUGAGGAAGGAAUAGUUUGAGGCUGGAGAGAUAUGCUACCCCCGCCACUCUUUCUCAAAUGGAAAGACAACCUGUAGGCACAGAAAUCAUUGCUCUGCUUACACUGAAAUCUCCUGCUGACUUUGAGAGCUGAGCACUGGAUUUUGAUGGGAGAGUGAAACUUAGUGAAGGAAUGAUUUGAACCUUUGUUGAUCUAAUACUUCUGUGAUACAGUUAUCUAAACAGAAUGAGUCUAAAGUCAGUAUAAAGACCUGUGUCUCUCCAUGUUUUGCUACUUAUAAUUGCAGAGGAACAUUUUGAGAUAGAAAAUUUUAUCCCCCUUUCAAGUGACUUUUUAUAAAACAUAACCUUUUAAGAGAGGUCAUUCUUUUGAAAAAUUGUCUGAAUACAAGAGAAGUAACUGAACAGCAAGGGAUUGUAGCCAUAAUGUUCUUGACCACUUUAGAUUGACAAAUAGUGUCUCAAAAUUGAUCAGGUUCUGGAGAAUCUAUUGAGGUUGUAUGGAGUAACCAAGUGAUGGAAGAGGUUGGAAGUGAAUAAUUUUAUGUGGUAUUAUGUGAUUUUUUUUGGUGGGGGUAGUGUCUGGAGCUGAGCAUGAUGGGGCCUAGAUGGGGCAGCCUUCUAAUGCUCCCAGUAUUUCGCAAAUCAUAUGUCACGUCAAAAUUGUAAUGACAAAGCUCACAGCAGCUGCCUACGCCAGGUUUGGUGCCAGCUCUAAUUAGAGCAUCGAUCAUUUCUCUCCCCUUCAUGAAUGCACGUGCGUGCACAUUUUCAUAUACAAGGGCAAAGGACAUUUCAAAGUUUGGAUGGAAUCUUUCCUACUUAGAAGUAAUAAAAAACAAUACUUUGAAAUCUUACCAAAUAUUAAACAAAUAGCAACAAUUUUUCCAUUUAAAGAUGUGUGUCUUCAGGUCUGUUGGAUCUUUCAAAUUUCUAUUUUGGACAUGGAAACUACAGAUGAAAUUUAACUUACUCAAAGUUACACAGAACUCCUGGCUGAUCUCUUUUACUUAAUUCUUCUAAAAUCUAAAGUAAGAAUAAUUUUGAAAUGUUAUUGGUAAUGCUUAAAUAACAAAAGUUACUUUAAUAUGUUACAUGUUGGAAGUUUCAUUUAUACUUAAUAUCUAAUUUAACUCUUGUGAAUAUAUUAUUCAGUUUUUUUUUUUGUUUUCUAAAAUGACUUGUUCAGGGCUCCUUUUGGGAUUUUUAAGUGAGAAAAACUCUAUUUCAUAAUAUUGUUACCACGCUCAUCCAAUAACACUUCAUAGAUGGUUAGCCAUCUCUAAAAUUAAAUUUUGUAGUUGAGAAGCAUUGAAAAUACCACCUAUAUUUGGAUUUCUGUUUAACACUUCAAAAUGCAUUUUAUCAUAAUUUAAAAUUUGAUUUAAAUACAAACCUCUUUAUAG
This is a long non-coding RNA of Pan troglodytes (chimpanzee), 1638 nucleotides long. RefSeq lists it as uncharacterized. NCBI's taxonomy places the organism in Eukaryota, Metazoa, Chordata, Mammalia, Primates, Hominidae. The transcript is spliced from 3 exons. The record is from RefSeq and is a predicted model, not a curated record.